CCGCGAUAAUACGUAGGGUGCGAGCGUUAAUCGGAAUUACUGGGCGUAAAGCGUGCGCAGGCGGCUUUUUAAGCCAGACGUGAAAUCCCCGGGCUUAACCUGGGAACUGCGUUUGGAACUGGAAGGCUAGAGUGUGUCAGAGGGGGGUGGAAUUCCACGUGUAGCAGUGAAAUGCGUAGAUAUGUGGAGGAACACCGAUGGCGAAGGCAGCCCCUGGGAUAACACUGACGCUCAUGACACGAAAGCGUGGGGAGCAAACAGGAUGUAGAUACCCUGGUAGUCCACGCCCUAAACGAUGUCAAACUGGCUGUUGGGAGAGAAAUCUUUCAGUAGCGA
RNAcentral lists this ribosomal RNA (336 nucleotides) under uncultured bacterium. RNAcentral describes it as "bacterial SSU rRNA". It matches the Rfam family "Bacterial small subunit ribosomal RNA", at positions 515 to 849 of the family's 1533-position model. The record is from RNAcentral.